This 490-nucleotide ribosomal RNA is filed under the name uncultured bacterium. Its description in RNAcentral is "partial 16S ribosomal RNA". It matches the Rfam family "Bacterial small subunit ribosomal RNA", at positions 29 to 507 of the family's 1533-position model. The record is from RNAcentral.
AGUGAACGCUGGCGGUAGGCCUAACACAUGCAAGUCGAACGGCAGCACAGGAGAGCUUGCUCUCUAGGUGGCGAGUGGCGGAAGGGUGAGGAAUACAACGGAAUCUGCACAGUCGUGUGGGAUAACGUAGGGAAACUUAAGCUAAUACCGCAUACGCCCUUCGGGUGAAAGUGGGGGAUCGCAAGACCUCUCGCGAUUGGAUGCGCCGCUGUCGGAUUAGCUAGUUAGCGGGGUAAUGGCCCACCCAGGCGACGAUACGUAGCUGGUCUGAGAGGAUGAUCAGCCACACUGGAACUUAGACACGGUCCAUACUCCUACGGGAGGCAGCAGUGUGGAAUAGUGGACAAUGGGCGCAAGCCUUACCCAGUCAGACCGCGUGUGUUAAGAAGGCCCUCGGGUUGUAAAGCCCGUUUGCUGGGAAAGAAAUCUUUCAGGCAAAGACCCUGGGAGGAUGACGGUACCCAAAGAAUAAGCACCGGCUAACUUCGUG